Molecule: long non-coding RNA, 243 nt
Organism: Drosophila grimshawi
Lineage: Eukaryota; Metazoa; Arthropoda; Insecta; Diptera; Drosophilidae
Exons: 3
Source: RefSeq, a predicted model, not a curated record
CACAUCAGCGACGAGCUUCGAGCUCGAAGCGUUGAGCUCCGGUAGCCGCCGCCGUCGCCGUUGCCGUUGCCGUCGAAGCAUUCACAACAACAAAACGUUGACAGGUCCGGAACUGGGCGCUUUUGUUGCGGCUCGCCGUGACAAACGAUGCGAUCAGCGGCAGCAGCGGAUUAGAUCAAAAGCAAAGAUCCAUCUAAAUCGCAAUGCAAGCAUAUUUGUGUCGACACUUUGAGGCAACCCGCA